RNAcentral lists this ribosomal RNA (253 nucleotides) under uncultured bacterium. RNAcentral's name for it is "partial 16S ribosomal RNA". It matches the Rfam family "Bacterial small subunit ribosomal RNA", at positions 524 to 776 of the family's 1533-position model. The record is from RNAcentral.
UACGUAGGGUGCAAGCGUUAAUCGGAAUUACUGGGCGUAAAGCGUGCGCAGGCGGUUCGCUAAGACAGAUGUGAAAUCCCCGGGCUUAACCUGGGAACUGCAUUUGUGACUGGCGGGCUAGAGUAUGGCAGAGGGGGGUAGAAUUCCACGUGUAGCAGUGAAAUGCGUAGAGAUGUGGAGGAAUAUCGAUGGCGAAGGCAGCCCCCUGGGCCAAUACUGACGCUCAUGCACGAAAGCGUGGGGAGCAAACAGG